CGCCCAUCAUUCCUGGUACUCCACGGCCCCGAUUCUCACUCUAUCUGUCUGCCCAGCUGCAAUACGGGAUAGUCCGGGUGUACAGCCGCCAGUGCCAAUACCUUGCUGAUGAGAUCCAGCAGACUUUGGAACGGCUCAACCGGAUGCAGCUGGCCAUCAACCUGAUAGAUCAGGAGCAGCCGAUGCUGCUUCUCCCUGACCAGCUGACCCUGAUGGAAGCCCUAGAAGAAGCCCCCGACCCCUUUUUUGGAGUGAUGGUCCCUUCAUUGCCCAGCCCUGC
Sphaerodactylus townsendi is the source of this 280-nucleotide long non-coding RNA. RefSeq lists it as uncharacterized. The transcript has 3 exons. NCBI's taxonomy places the organism in Eukaryota, Metazoa, Chordata, Lepidosauria, Squamata, Sphaerodactylidae. The record is from RefSeq and is a predicted model, not a curated record.